AUACGUAGGGGGCGAGCGUUGUCCGGAAUUACUGGGCGUAAAGGGUGCGUAGGCGGUUUUUUAAGUCAGAUGUGAAAUCCCCGGGCUUAACUCGGGUGGUGCAUUUGAAACUGGGAGACUAGAGUGCAGGAGAGGGAAGCGGAAUUCCUAGUGUAGCGGUGAAAUGCGUAGAUAUUAGGAGGAACACCAGUGGCGAAGGCGGCUUUCUGGACUGUAACUGACGCCGAGGCACGAAAGCGUGGGGAGC
This 247-nucleotide ribosomal RNA is filed under the name uncultured bacterium. RNAcentral describes it as "partial 16S ribosomal RNA". It matches the Rfam family "Bacterial small subunit ribosomal RNA", at positions 523 to 769 of the family's 1533-position model. The record is from RNAcentral.